RNAcentral lists this ribosomal RNA (497 nucleotides) under uncultured bacterium. RNAcentral describes it as "partial 16S ribosomal RNA". It matches the Rfam family "Bacterial small subunit ribosomal RNA", at positions 28 to 507 of the family's 1533-position model. The record is from RNAcentral.
GAUGAACGCUGGCGGCGUGCCUAAUACAUGCAAGUCGAGCGAACAGAUGAGGAGCUUGCUCCUCUGACGUUAGCGGCGGACGGGUGAGUAACACGUGGAUAACCUACCUAUAAGACUGGGAUAACUUCGGGAAACCGGAGCUAAUACCGGAUAAUAUAUUGAACCGCAUGGUUCAAUAGUGAAAGACGGUUUUGCUGUCACUUAUAGAUGGAUCCGCGCCGCAUUAGCUAGUUGGUAAGGUAACGGCUUACCAAGGCGACGAUGCGUAGCCGACCUGAGAGGGUGAUCGGCCACACUGGAUCUGAGACACGGUCCAGACUCCUACGGGAGGCAGCAGUAGGGAAUCUUCCGCAAUGGGCGAAAGCCUGACGGAGCAACGCCGCGUGAGUGAUGAAGGUCUUCGGAUCGUAAAACUCUGUUAUUAGGGAAGAACAAAUGUGUAAGUAACCAUGCACGUCUUGACGGUACCUAAUCAGAAAGCCACGGCUAACUACGUG